AAGGGCACGGCCCAUCUGCGGGUGACCCCGGGGCUGUGCCGGGCCAGGCAGCGCCUGCAGCACAGCUUCCCCAGGCUGUGGCGGUGGGUGCAGGAGCGCUGGAGGCACUGCCGUGCACAGCCCUUUUGGCAGCGCUGGUCCUCCGUGGGGAGGAAGACUCCCUGAGCCCGAGUGUGGGGCCCGGCAAUGCCACAGCCCCACCGCGCUCCCUCCGGCUCAGACCGCUGAAGGGUUUCCCUUCCCGGCUGCUGCUGAUCCCUUCCCAUCCCGGAGUCACACAGCCCAGCAGUGCCCCCGAGCAGCAAUGGGUCCCAAGGACCACUUGGGAUGGUCAUGCAGAUGCUGGUGCUGUUGCAGCACAGCCUGUUUGCAGUCGUGCUGCGGUCCCGGCGGCUGCGGGUAGGUGAUGGAUGAGGGGCCCGGGGGCGCGGGGGCACAGGGGCUGCCCCUCACCCACCCACUCACUGCUCCCACAGAAGAUCUGCCGGAGGUUGGGGAAGAAGAGGAGAGCGCCGAGCGCCAGGAGGAAGAAGGGAGAGGUGAGCAGCCCCAGUGCCAGCGCUGAGCAGCCUAGCCAGUGUGGGGCUGGGCGGGGGUCCCGGCCGUUCACACGCUCUUGCUUUGGCAGAUGCUUGCGGGAAGGACAGAGCAGCGGGGAUGCCGUCGCCGACGUGGGAAUUGCGGUGAGUGCUGCUUGGCCAACCUGCCCCCCAUUGCUGCAGGGCCUGGCGUCAGGGCCACGGGUGGGUGCUGUGCUGGGGUCGUGGCCGGGGGCUGUGCUGCGGGCAUGGCGGCAGCGGGUCCCCUCAUCUCCUCCAUUUCCUCCUGCAGGACGAGCCCACGGGAAAGGAGCAGGAAGCCACCCCGGGCCCCGCUGGCAUCCAUGCUGUCCCUGGGCUCCCUCGAUGAAUCUUCUUCCUCCUCCUGUUCCUCCCUCUACUCCUUCCCAGAGCCCUGGCCCGGUGCACUGGCAGAGUUGGCUGCCCUUGCCCCUGGGGCCGCCUCAGAGCCACGAGAGCCACAACCAGAGCCAGAGCCACAGCAAGAACCAGCAGCAGAGUCAGAGGCAGAGGAAGAGCCUGAGGAAGAGCCUGAGGAAUAGCUGGAGCCCGAACCAGAGUCAGAGGCAGAGUCAGAGGAAGAGGCAGAGGAAGAGCCUGAGGCAGAGCCAUCCCUGUGCCCCAGCUCGGAGUCCCCGGCUCUGCUGCCAGCAGCCUCCAGCACCCCCCACUCCCUGGGGCUGAGUGAGCAGAGCGAUGGAGCGCAGAGCCCCAUGGAGCCCUCCCCACCCCACUGCUCCCACACGAAGCUCAUCCAGGAGCUGCUCUGUGCCAUCCGUGAGAACCACGCAGCCGUUGAGCACCGCUGCCAACUGCUGCGGGCAGUGCUGGAGCGGCAGAGGGCAGCCGGGACGCCCAGAGAGC
This 1424-nucleotide long non-coding RNA is filed under the name Gallus gallus (chicken). RNAcentral's name for it is "lncRNA (ENSGALG00010003712.1)". The record is from RNAcentral. Lineage: Eukaryota; Metazoa; Chordata; Aves; Galliformes; Phasianidae.